GACAUUUCACCUCUUUUUUCUCCUCUGCGGCGGCGGCGGCGGGCGAUAGGGAGACGGGACCGGCCACCUUCGCCGGAGCUUGACCUCUUCGGCCUGACGUGCGAGGUAACUCUCUUUUGACCUCUCCGUUGGUCCCCAGGAGCACAACUCUCUCAAUUCCGUCUCACCACCGCACUAACAGAUGGAGGCAGAUGCGGACGCGGACGCGAACCCGGAGCAUGCCGUGCUACCCCAAGGCCACGAGGACUCAUGGAUUACAUUUGUAAGUUGACUUAGCCUGUGCAGAUUCGUUACUAGGAUUAGGCUAGAGAGGUACAGUAGUAAUCAACUGAAUCCUUGUGCAGCUCAGGGUCGCGGACUUUUUCAUGACUAGCAAAUAGGCCCGUGCGUUGCCACGGGAGAAAAAUAAAUCAGAUUAUGCAAAUUAUGCAAGGAUGAGAUACAGACUUUUAAAAUAUCACUUCAUAAAGUACAUCAAAAUCAUGUCAUGAUGAGAUAAGAG
This 502-nucleotide long non-coding RNA is filed under the name Triticum aestivum (bread wheat). RNAcentral's name for it is "long non-coding RNA (TAES_LNC010804)". Lineage: Eukaryota; Viridiplantae; Streptophyta; Magnoliopsida; Poales; Poaceae. The record is from RNAcentral.